CCUACGGGUGGCAGCAGUGGGGAAUCUUGCACAAUGGGCGAAAGCCUGAUGCAGCAACGCCGCGUGAGCGAUGAAGGCCUUCGGGUCGUAAAGCUCUGUCCUCAAGGAAGAUAAUGCCGGUACUUGAGGAUUAAGCCCCGGCUAACUACGUGCCAGCAGCCGCCGUAGUACGUAGGGGGCUAGCUGUAUCCGGACUUACUGGGCGUAAAGGGUGCGUAGGUGGGUUGUUAAGUCAGAGGGGAAUGGGUACGGUUAAACCGUAGUAAGCCUUUGAAACUGGGGCACUUGAGUGCAGGAGAGGAGAGUGGAAUUCCUGGUGUAGCGGUGAAAUGCGUAGAUAUUAGGAGGAACACCAGUUGCGAAGGCGGCUCUCUGGACUGUAACUGACACUGAGGCACGAAAGCGUGGGGAGCAAACAGGAUUAGAUACCCGAGUAGUC
Molecule: ribosomal RNA, 439 nt
Filed under: uncultured bacterium
Lineage: Bacteria
Description: partial 16S ribosomal RNA
Rfam family: Bacterial small subunit ribosomal RNA
Source: RNAcentral